This 168-nucleotide ribosomal RNA is filed under the name Tetragoniomycetaceae sp. Its description in RNAcentral is "partial large subunit ribosomal RNA". It matches the Rfam family "Eukaryotic large subunit ribosomal RNA", at positions 99 to 261 of the family's 3401-position model. The record is from RNAcentral. Lineage: Eukaryota; Fungi; Basidiomycota; Tremellomycetes; Trichosporonales; Tetragoniomycetaceae.
CGGGAAUAGCUCAAAUUUGAAAUCUGGCAUCCUUCGGGUGUCCGAGUUGUAAUCUAUAGAAGUGUUUUCUGUGCUGGCUUGUGUCCAAGUCCCUUGGAAAAGGGCAUCAAAGAGGGUGAAAAUCCCGUCCUUGACACAAUUACCAGUGCUCUGUGAUACACUUUCUAC